This 99-nucleotide microRNA precursor is filed under the name Chlorocebus sabaeus (green monkey). Its description in RNAcentral is "miRNA (ENSCSAG00000022142.1)". The record is from RNAcentral. Lineage: Eukaryota; Metazoa; Chordata; Mammalia; Primates; Cercopithecidae.
AAAAGUAAUUGCGGGUUUUGCCAUAAAUGUAAUGGCAAAAAUUGCAAUUACUUAUGCACCAACCUAAUAUUUUUAAUACUUCCAGCCCCAAACAAUUGU